This 74-nucleotide transfer RNA is filed under the name Gasterosteus aculeatus (three-spined stickleback). It matches the Rfam family "tRNA". From Rfam's summary of the family: Transfer RNA (tRNA) molecules are approximately 80 nucleotides in length. Their secondary structure includes four short double-helical elements and three loops (D, anti-codon, and T loops). Further hydrogen bonds mediate the characteristic L-shaped molecular structure. tRNAs have two regions of fundamental functional importance: the anti-codon, which is responsible for specific mRNA codon recognition, and the 3' end, to which the tRNAs corresponding amino acid is attached (by aminoacyl-tRNA synthetases). tRNAs cope with the degeneracy of the genetic code in two manners: having more than one tRNA (with a specific anti-codon) for a particular amino acid; and 'wobble' base-pairing, i.e. permitting non-standard base-pairing at the 3rd anti-codon position. Lineage: Eukaryota; Metazoa; Chordata; Actinopteri; Perciformes; Gasterosteidae. The record is from Rfam by way of RNAcentral.
AGGGAUGUAGCUCAAUUGUAGAGCGCAUGCCUUGCAUGUAUGAAGGCCUGGGGUUCCAUCCCCACGCACUCCCU